RNAcentral lists this ribosomal RNA (548 nucleotides) under uncultured bacterium. RNAcentral's name for it is "partial 16S ribosomal RNA". It matches the Rfam family "Bacterial small subunit ribosomal RNA", at positions 355 to 892 of the family's 1533-position model. The record is from RNAcentral.
UGGGGAAUUUUGGACAAUGGGCGCAAGCCUGAUCCAGCCAUGCCGCGUGCGGGAAGAAGGCCUUCGGGUUGUAAACCGCUUUUGUCAGGGAAGAAAUCUUCUGAGUUAAUACCUCGGGAGGAUGACGGUACCUGAAGAAUAAGCACCGGCUAACUACGUGCCAGCAGCCGCGGUAAUACGUAGGGUGCAAGCGUUAAUCGGAAUUACUGGGCGUAAAGCGUGCGCAGGCGGUUUUGUAAGACAGAGGUGAAAUCCCCGGGCUCAACCUGGGAACUGCCUUUGUGACUGCAAGGCUUGAGUGCGGCAGAGGGGGGAUGGAAUUCCGCGUGUAGCAGUGAAAUGCGUAGAUAUGCGGAGGAAACACCGAUGGCGAAGGCAAUCCCCCUGGGCCUGCACUGACGCUCAUGCACGAAAGCGUGGGGAGCAAACAGGAUUAGAUACCCUGGUAGUCCACGCCCUAAACGAUGUCAACUAGUUGUUGGGGGAUUCAUUUCCUUAGUAACGUAGCUAACGCGUGAAGUUGACCGCCUGGGGAGUACGGUCGCAAG